Molecule: ribosomal RNA, 755 nt
Filed under: uncultured bacterium
Lineage: Bacteria
Description: bacterial SSU rRNA
Rfam family: Bacterial small subunit ribosomal RNA
Source: RNAcentral
GACGAACGCUGGCGGCGUGCUUAAUACAUGCAAGUCGAGCGAGGUUACUGUUUUGGAUCCCUUCGGGGUGAAGAAGCUUUAACCUAGCGGCGGACGGGUGAGUAACGCGUGGGUAACCUACCCCAAAGUCCGGGAUAACAGCGGGAAACCGCUGCUAAUACCGGAUGCCUUUACCUUGGGGCAUCUUGAGGUAAAGAAAGGCAACGCUUUGGGAUGGGCCCGCGUCCCAUUAGCUAGUUGGUGAGGUAACGGCUCACCAAAGCGACGAUGGGUAGCCGGCCUGGGAGGGUGGACGGCCACACUGGGACUGAGACACGGCCCAGACUCCUACGGGAGGCAGCAGUAGGGAAUAUUGCGCAAUGGACGGAAGUCUGACGCAGCGACGCCGCGUGAGCGAUGAAGGUCUUCGGAUCGUAAAGCUCUGUCCUUGGGGAAGAAGGCGAAAGCUUGACGGUACCCAAGAAGAAAGCCCCGGCUAACUACGUGCCAGCAGCCGCGGUAAUACGUAGGGGGCGAGCGUUGUCCGGAAUUACUGGGCGUAAAGGGUGCGUAGGCGGCCCUUUAAGUCGGAUGUGAAAGCCCGCGGCUUAACCGCGGAAUGGCAUUCGAAACUGGAGGGCUUGAGUGUCGGAGAGGGUAGUGGAAUUCCCAGUGUAGCGGUGAAAUGCGUAGAUAUUGGGAGGAACACCAGUGGCGAAGGCGACUACCUGGACGAUAACUGACGCUGAGGCACGAAAGCUAGGGGAGCAAACAGG